This 138-nucleotide unclassified non-coding RNA is filed under the name soil metagenome. RNAcentral's name for it is "partial internal transcribed spacer 1". The record is from RNAcentral.
CCUAGAGUUGUAGGCUUUGCCUGCUAUCUCUUACCCAUGUCUUUUGAGUACCUUCGUUUCCUCGGCGGGUCCGCCCGCCGAUUGGACAAUUCAAACCCUUUGCAGUUGAAAUCAGCGUCUGAAAAAACUUAAUAGUUA